CCUACGGGUGGCUGCAGUGGGGAAUAUUGGACAAUGGGCGAAAGCCUGAUCCAGCCAUGCCGCGUGUGUGAAGAAGGCCUUCGGGUUGUAAAGCACUUUCAGUGGGGAAGAAAGCCCUGGGGCUAAUACCCUCGAGGAAGGACAUCACCCACAGAAGAAGCACCGGCUAACUCCGUGCCAGCAGCCGCGGUAAUACGGAGGGUGCGAGCGUUAAUCGGAAUUACUGGGCGUAAAGCGCGCGUAGGCGGUCUGAUAAGCCGGUUGUGAAAGCCCCGGGCUCAACCUGGGAACGGCAUCCGGAACUGUCAGGCUAGAGUGCAGGAGAGGAAGGUAGAAUUCCCGGUGUAGCGGUGAAAUGCGUAGAGAUCGGGAGGAAUACCAGUGGCGAAGGCGGCCUUCUGGACUGACACUGACGCUGAGGUGCGAAAGCGUGGGUAGCAAACAGGAUUAGAUACCCCAGUAGUC
RNAcentral lists this ribosomal RNA (465 nucleotides) under Vreelandella stevensii. Its description in RNAcentral is "partial 16S ribosomal RNA". It matches the Rfam family "Bacterial small subunit ribosomal RNA", at positions 338 to 795 of the family's 1533-position model. Lineage: Bacteria; Pseudomonadati; Pseudomonadota; Gammaproteobacteria; Oceanospirillales; Halomonadaceae. The record is from RNAcentral.